Molecule: ribosomal RNA, 645 nt
Filed under: Moesziomyces antarcticus
Lineage: Eukaryota; Fungi; Basidiomycota; Ustilaginomycetes; Ustilaginales; Ustilaginaceae
Description: eukaryotic LSU rRNA
Rfam family: Eukaryotic large subunit ribosomal RNA
Source: RNAcentral
UCAUCGGCCUCAGAUUGGUAGGACUACCCGCUGAACUUAAGCAUAUCAAUAAGCGGAGGAAAAGAAACUAACAAGGAUUCCCCUAGUAACGGCGAGUGAAGAGGGAAGAGCCCAAGAUUGAAAGCUGGCGUCUUCGGCGUCCGCAUUGUAAUCUCAAGAAGUGUUUUCCGCUUCGGACCAAGCCUAAGUCCCCUGGAAAGGGGCAUCAUAGAGGGUGAUAAUCCCGUACAUGGCUUGGAGCGCCCGAGGCUUUGUGAUACGCUUUCUAAGAGUCGAGUUGUUUGGGAAUGCAGCUCAAAAUGGGUGGUAAAUGCCAUCUAAGGCUAAAUAUUGGGGAGAGACCGAUAGCGAACAAGUACAGUGAUGGAAAGAUGAAAAGAACUUUGAAAAGAGAGUUAAACAGUACGUGAAAUUGCCAAAAGGGAAGGGUAGGAGGUCAGAGAUGCGGCCUGGGAUUCAGCCUUGCUUUUGCUUGGUGUUUUUCCCAGAUUGCAGGCCAACGUCGGUUUUGGGCACUGGAGAAGGGUAGGAGGAACGUGGCACCCCUCGGGGUGUGUUAUAGCCUCCUACUGGAUACAGCGACCGAGACCGAGGACAGCAGCGUACUCGCAAGAGCGGGCCUUCGGGCACCUUUACGCUUAGGGC